Molecule: ribosomal RNA, 497 nt
Filed under: uncultured bacterium
Lineage: Bacteria
Description: partial 16S ribosomal RNA
Rfam family: Bacterial small subunit ribosomal RNA
Source: RNAcentral
GAUGAACGCUGGCGGCGUGCCUAAUACAUGCAAGUCGAGCGAACAGACGAGGAGCUUGCUCCUCUGACGUUAGCGGCGGACGGGUGAGUAACACGUGGAUAACCUACCUAUAAGACUGGGAUAACUUCGGGAAACCGGAGCUAAUACCGGAUAAUAUAUUGAACCGCAUGGUUCCAUAGUGAAAGACGGUUUUGCUGUCACUUAUAGAUGGAUCCGCGCCGCAUUAGCUAGUUGGUAAGGUAACGGCUUACCAAGGCAACGAUGCGUAGCCGACCUGAGAAGGUGAUCGGCCACACUGGAACUGAGACACGGUCCAGACUCCUACGGGAGGCAGCAGUAGGGAAUCUUCCGCAAUGGGCGAAAGCCUGACGGAGCAACGCCGCGUGAGUGAUGAAGGUCUUCGGAUCGUAAAACUCUGUUAUUAGGGAAGAACAAAUGUGUAAGUAACUAUGCACGUCUUGACGGUACCUAAUCAGAAAGCCACGGCUAACUACGUG